CCUGUAGUCCCUCCGUUCGGAAUUACUUGUCGCAAAAAUGAAUGUAUCUAGACGUAUUUUAGUUCUAGAUAUAUCCAUUUCCAAGACAAGUAAUUCCGAACGGAGGGAGUAAUAG
Molecule: non-coding RNA, 115 nt
Organism: Triticum aestivum (bread wheat)
Lineage: Eukaryota; Viridiplantae; Streptophyta; Magnoliopsida; Poales; Poaceae
Source: Rfam